Molecule: ribosomal RNA, 508 nt
Filed under: uncultured bacterium
Lineage: Bacteria
Description: bacterial SSU rRNA
Rfam family: Bacterial small subunit ribosomal RNA
Source: RNAcentral
AGGGUUUGAUUAUGGCUCAGGACGAACGCUGGCGGUGCGCCUUAUGCAUGCAAGUCGAGCGAAGCUUUUCAGUAGUUUACUACAGAAAAUGACUGAGCGGCGAACGGGUGAGUAACGCGUGAGCAAUCUACCUUAGUUACAGGGAUAGCCCGAGGAAACUCGGAUUAAUACCUGAUAUUCUUUAUUUCUCGCAUGAGAAUAAAAGGAAAGGUCAGCCGAACUAAGAUGAGCUCGCGUUCUAUCAGCUUGUUGGUGAGGUAAAAGCUCACCAAGGCUACGACGGAUAGCUGGUCUGAGAGGACGAUCAGCCACACUGGGACUGAGACACGGCCCAGACUCCUACGGGAGGCUGCAGCAGGGAAUAUUGUGCAAUGAACGAAAGUUUGACACAGCGACACCGCGUGUGGGAUGACGGAUCUAGGUUUGUAAACCACUUUCAGGAGGGAAGAAAAUGACGGUACCUCCACAAGGAGCCCCGGCCAACUACGUGCCAGCCGCCGCGGUAAUA